UUGACCUCGGAUCAGGUAGGAAUACCCGCUGAACUUAAGCAUAUCAAUAAGCGGAGGAAAGGAUCAUUAAAGAGUUAUUACAACUCCCAACCAUGUGAACUUACCUUCUGUUGCCUGGCAGGUCGCGACCUACCCUGUGAGGCCCUACCUGUAGGGCCUACCUGGUUAGUCGCGGGUACCCCUGCCGGUGGCCCUGAAAACUCUGUUUUAUUGUUAUUCUGAAUCC
RNAcentral lists this ribosomal RNA (226 nucleotides) under Xylaria grammica. RNAcentral describes it as "partial 28S ribosomal RNA". The record is from RNAcentral. Lineage: Eukaryota; Fungi; Ascomycota; Sordariomycetes; Xylariales; Xylariaceae.